AGCAGCCGCGGUAAUUCCAGCUCCAAUAGCGUAUAUUAAAGUUGUUGCAGUUAAAAAGCUCGUAGUUGAAUUUCGGGGAUCAAUUAAUCGGUCGUGCCUCUGGUACGCACUGGUUUUAUUGGUUUCUCCCUUCUGACGAACCAGGAUGUCAUUAAUUUGGUGUCUUGGAGAAUCAGGACUGUUACUUUGAAAAAAUUGAAGUGUUUAAAGCUAGGCUUCUAGGCAUGAAUACAUUAGCAUGGAAUAAUGAAAUAGGACGUUUGAUCCUAUUUUGUUGGUUUCUAGGAUCGACGUAAUGAUUAAUAGGGAUAGUUGGGGGCAUUAGUAUUCAAUUGUCAGAGGUGAAAUUCUUGGAUUUAUUGAAGACUAA
Molecule: ribosomal RNA, 370 nt
Filed under: uncultured Glomeromycotina
Lineage: Eukaryota; Fungi; Glomeromycota
Description: SSU rRNA
Rfam family: Eukaryotic small subunit ribosomal RNA
Source: RNAcentral